AUGUCUGCAAUUGAGUCCAAUCCAGAUAUAACUUUUAACUUGGCCGUUGCGAGGUUCAGAGACUUCUGUUAUGAUCAGCAUAGAAGUUCACAUGUGGAUAGCCCCAAAGCAAAUGAAUCAAGUUACAUGGUGUCAAGUCACCACCCUCAUAGGGGCGGAGCUUCAAGGGACAGCCCAAAGGGGAGUACAUGUUUUAAUUGUGGCAAGUUUGGUCACAUUGCUAGAUUUUGUCGCCUACCAAAGAAAGAUGGUACGCCAUCUGGUGGCAAUAAGCAAGUAAAGCAAGAAAAGAAAGUUUUUACAAAUAAGCCUGCUGGAAACAGACAAUCACAUAGAGGCUUGAUGGCUGCUCAUUCUAUUUUAACAAUUAAUGAGAACAAAGACAAAGAAGAUGUUUGGAUUGUUGAUUCAGGUUGUACACAGCAUAGCUCAAAUAACUCUGAGAAUUUUGUUGAACUGAAUCAAGGAGUUAAAGGUGAUUUGAGAAUAGCUAAUGGAGAUUUAUUGAAAAUAAAAGGAUUUGGAAAGUGUAUUGUGAAAUGUAGUUUGCCUGAUGAGGUUGCUGUAACUGAGAUUUCAGAUGUUCCUUACAUUGAUUCACUUCAAUGCAAUAUGCUAAGUGUUAGUUCCAUGGACAAGAAAGGAUUUGCAAUUCAUUUUGAGAAUGGUCAAUGUGAUAUUACAAAAGAAGGUGUUUUAUAUGACAAAACUUUUGAAAAGAAUGGAAUGUAUGAAUUGUGUGUUUCAUCUGAGCAAGCCAACAUGGUUAAGACACAUGUUGGUGGAAAGAAUCUUGAAAUUUGGCAUAGACGUUUUGGUCAUAGAGAUGCAAAUGCAAUUCUGCAGUUGCAGAAGGGCAAUUUGGCUACAAACCUUGAGAUAAGCAAUACAGCUUUUGAUAAAUGUGUAGUCUGUAUUCAACAGAAAGCAGUGAGUCCCUUUUUUCCAGUCAACACAGAAAAGAGAUCUACUAAGAUUCUAGAUUUAAUUCACAGCGAUAUUUGUGGUCCCUUUAAGACUUCAUUUGGAGAAAAUAAUUAUGCAGUUAUUUUCUUAGAUGCUUUUUCAAGGUUUUGUGUUUCUUAUAUUCUGAAAGACAAAUCUGAAGCUCAAGACAUGUUGCAGAGAUAUGUUGCUAUGGUGAAGACUAAGUUUGGAUGCACACCAAAAGCUAUUCAAACUGACUGUGGUAGUGAGUAUACUUCACAUCGCACACAGAGAUUCCUGGAAGAGAAUGGAAUUCAGCAUAUUAAGAGUGUUCCUUAUACUCCUCAGCAAAAUGGAGUGGCUGAAAGGAAGCUUAGGUCUCUAGUUGAGAUGACAAGGUGUAUGUUAAAAGAUAUAAAUCUUCCAGAUUGCCUCUAG
This 1365-nucleotide long non-coding RNA is filed under the name Anolis carolinensis (green anole). RNAcentral describes it as "lncRNA (ENSACAG00000042910.1)". The record is from RNAcentral. Lineage: Eukaryota; Metazoa; Chordata; Lepidosauria; Squamata; Anolidae.